GACGAACGCUGGCGGCGUGCUUAACACAUGCAAGUCGAACGGAAAGGCCCUGCUUUUGUGGGGUGCUCGAGUGGCGAACGGGUGAGUAACACGUGAGUAACCUGCCCUUGACUUUGGGAUAACUUCAGGAAACUGGGGCUAAUACCGGAUAGGAGCUCCUGCUGCAUGGUGGGGGUUGGAAAGUUUCGGCGGUUGGGGAUGGACUCGCGGCUUAUCAGCUUGUUGGUGGGGUAGUGGCUUACCAAGGCUUUGACGGGUAGCCGGCCUGAGAGGGUGACCGGCCCCAUUGGGGCUGGGAGACGGCCCCGAGCCCCCCGGGGGGGACCGGGGGGGGAAAUUUCGCAAUGGGGGGGGGCCGUAUGCAGAGACCCCCCGUGCGGGAGGAGGGCCUUCGGGGUUUAAACCCCUUUUCCCUGUGACAAAGCGUGGGGGAGGGGAUUGGGGAAAGAAGCCCCGCCGAUAUCCGU
RNAcentral lists this ribosomal RNA (467 nucleotides) under uncultured bacterium. RNAcentral's name for it is "partial 16S ribosomal RNA". It matches the Rfam family "Bacterial small subunit ribosomal RNA", at positions 28 to 506 of the family's 1533-position model. The record is from RNAcentral.